This 477-nucleotide ribosomal RNA is filed under the name uncultured bacterium. RNAcentral describes it as "partial 16S ribosomal RNA". It matches the Rfam family "Bacterial small subunit ribosomal RNA", at positions 28 to 523 of the family's 1533-position model. The record is from RNAcentral.
GACGAACGCUGGCGGCGUGCUUAACACAUGCAAGUCGAGCGAUGAAGCCCCUUCGGGGGUGGAUUAGCGGCGGACGGGUGAGUAACACGUGGGUAACCUGCCUCAAAGAGGGGGAUAGCCUCCCGAAAGGGAGAUUAAUACCGCAUAAAGCAGAAUUCCACAUGGAGUUUUGAUGAAAGGAGUAAUCCGCUUUGAGAUGGACCCGCGGCGCAUUAGCUAGUUGGUGGGGUAACGGCCCACCAAGGCAACGAUGCGUAGCCGACCUGAGAGGGUGAUCGGCCACAUUGGAACUGAGAGACGGUCCAGACUCCUACGGGAGGCAGCAGUGGGGAAUAUUGCACAAUGGGCGAAAGCCUGAUGCAGCAACGCCGCGUGAGUGAUGAAGGUCUUCGGAUUGUAAAGCUCUGUCUUCUGGGACGACAAUGACGGUACCAGAGGAGGAAGCCACGGCUAACUACGUGCCAGCCGCCGCGGUAA